This 253-nucleotide ribosomal RNA is filed under the name uncultured bacterium. Its description in RNAcentral is "partial 16S ribosomal RNA". It matches the Rfam family "Bacterial small subunit ribosomal RNA", at positions 524 to 776 of the family's 1533-position model. The record is from RNAcentral.
UACGGAGGGUGCGAGCGUUGUCCGGAAUCACUGGGCGUAAAGGGCGCGUAGGCGGCGCGGAAAGUCAACGGUGAAAGCUUGGGGCUCAACCCCGAGUCGGCCGUCGAUACUUCUGCGCUGGAGCACUGUAGAGGCAGGUGGAAUUCCGGGUGUAGCGGUGGAAUGCGUAGAGAUCCGGAAGAACACCAGUGGCGAAGGCAGCGAACUGGCCCUUAAUUGACGCUCAGGCACGAAAGCAUGGGGAUCAAACAGG